GUCUUUUUAGUUUAAUUGGAAAAACAUACAACUGAAGAUUGUAAUUACCUGGUUCGAUCCCUGGAAAAGAAA
Oopsacas minuta is the source of this 72-nucleotide non-coding RNA. Lineage: Eukaryota; Metazoa; Porifera; Hexactinellida; Lyssacinosida; Leucopsacidae. The record is from the annotation of a GenBank genome assembly.